RNAcentral lists this transfer RNA (90 nucleotides) under bacterium. Its description in RNAcentral is "tRNA-Ser". It matches the Rfam family "tRNA". Rfam says of the family: Transfer RNA (tRNA) molecules are approximately 80 nucleotides in length. Their secondary structure includes four short double-helical elements and three loops (D, anti-codon, and T loops). The record is from RNAcentral.
GGAGAGGUCGGAUAGCCCGGUUUAUUCCGCCGCACUUGAAAUGCGGUAUCCCGCAAGGGAUCGUGAGUUCGAAUCUCACCCUCUCCGCCA